Molecule: long non-coding RNA, 185 nt
Organism: Rhinichthys klamathensis goyatoka
Lineage: Eukaryota; Metazoa; Chordata; Actinopteri; Cypriniformes; Leuciscidae
Exons: 3
Source: RefSeq, a predicted model, not a curated record
UGCGUGUACUGGAUGUGGACGCUGGAGGAGGAUGUGUCCUAAUCCAUACCCUUUCUCAGUGGUGAGAACCUGAGUUCCCCUCCAGAGAAAGCUACGUUUCACUUUCCUCGGCGAUCGCAGGGCCUGAGCACCGGGGGCAGAGGAUUCUUACUUGGGUGACGGUAUCUUUCUCACCGUGUGCAGUG